Molecule: small nucleolar RNA, 73 nt
Organism: Balaenoptera musculus (blue whale)
Lineage: Eukaryota; Metazoa; Chordata; Mammalia; Artiodactyla; Balaenopteridae
Product: small nucleolar RNA, C/D box 114-10
Source: Ensembl
UGGACCAAUGAUGAUGACUGAUGGUUUGAAUCAAGGAUGAUAAAUAAUAUGUGUCUGAAACUCUGAGGUCCAG